UCCUUUCCCUCGGCUCCCUAGACCCAGGCCAGACAGUCGGCCGUCCGGAUGUGGGGCUGCCUAGCACGGGGUUUGCUUUGUGUGGGGGAGGUGCGACUGGCUGGGUUCCUAGGAAGGAGACUGCUGAGCAGCAACGCUGCCUCGGGGAAAAGCAAUGCGGGCCAAUGCUGGAACUGCGGCCGCGCAGGGGGUGUGGAGAGCGGGGAUGGGUUUUUCUGCGAACACUGCCGCGCCUUGCAGCCUCCAGACCCGACUCGGGACUACUUCAGCCUCAUGAAUUGCCACCGAUCCUUCAGGGUCGACGUCAUGAAGCUUCAGCACAGGUACCAGCAACUACAGCGUCUCGUCCACCCAGAUUUCUUCAGCCAGAAGUCUCAGACUGAAAAAUACUUCUCAGAGAAGCAUUCGACCCUGGUGAAUGAUGCCUAUAAGACUCUUCAGGCUCCCCUGAGCAGGGGACUAUACCUUCUAAAGCUCCAAGGAAUAGAAAUUCCUGAAGGGACCGAUUAUGGAACAGACGGUCAGUUCCUUGUGGAAAUAAUGGAAAUCAAUGAGAAACUUGCAGAUGCCCAGAGUGAGGCUGCGUUGGAAGAGAUAGAAUCCACUGUCAGAGUCUCACUGUAGCCACGUUGGCGGUUUCCACUUCCACGCCAGGCCUUUGUGAGCAUUGUUGAUGCGGCGUGGAACUCUGGUCUUUUCAUUCCGUUCAUGUUAACUCCUCUCCCCGACCUGGGAGCAGUCAUUAUUCUUCACGAAGCCUCCUUUGUCCUCUCUGUCUCUGCCUUUGGCCACAGCAGACACUUCACUGCUGUCGGGAAGCUAAACAGAAAGAAUUUACUGACAGUGUAAACAGAGCUUUUGAACAAGGUGAUUUUGAAAAAGCCAAGGAAAUUCUAACAAAGAUGAAAUACUUUUCAAACAUAGAAGAAAAGAUCAAGUUAAGCAAGAAUCCCCUCUAGUUGCUAAUUUAAGGUUUGAAAAAUAAACUUUCUAUGUAUUUC
Molecule: RNA transcript, 1001 nt
Organism: Mesocricetus auratus (golden hamster)
Lineage: Eukaryota; Metazoa; Chordata; Mammalia; Rodentia; Cricetidae
Gene: Hscb
Gene name: HscB mitochondrial iron-sulfur cluster cochaperone
Exons: 7
Source: RefSeq, a predicted model, not a curated record